RNAcentral lists this ribosomal RNA (448 nucleotides) under uncultured bacterium. RNAcentral's name for it is "partial 16S ribosomal RNA". It matches the Rfam family "Bacterial small subunit ribosomal RNA", at positions 29 to 523 of the family's 1533-position model. The record is from RNAcentral.
AGCGAACGCUGGCGGCAGGCUUAACACAUGCAAGUCGAACGCCCCGCAAGGGGAGUGGCAGACGGGUGAGUAACACGUGGGAACGUACCCUUUGGUUCGGAAUAACUUGGGGAAACUCAAGCUAAUACCGGAUAAGCCCUUAUGGGGGAAAGGUUUACUGCCGAAGGAUCGGCCCGCGUCUGAUUAGCUAGUUGGUGAGGUAAUGGCUCACCAAGGCGACGAUCAGUAGCUGGUCUGAGAGGAUGAUCAGCCACACUGGGACUGAGACACGGCCCAGACUCCUACGGGAGGCAGCAGUGGGGAAUAUUGGACAAUGGGGGCAACCCUGAUCCAGCCAUGCCGCGUGGGUGAUGAAGGCCUUAGGGUUGUAAAGCUCUUUUACCCGGGACGAUAAUGACUGUACCGGGAGAAUAAGCCCCGGCUAACUUCGUGCCAGCCGCCGCCGUAA